This 492-nucleotide ribosomal RNA is filed under the name uncultured bacterium. Its description in RNAcentral is "partial 16S ribosomal RNA". It matches the Rfam family "Bacterial small subunit ribosomal RNA", at positions 29 to 507 of the family's 1533-position model. The record is from RNAcentral.
AGUGAACGCUGGCGGUAGGCCUAACACAUGCAAGUCGAACGGCAGCACAGUAAGAGCUUGCUCUUACGGGUGGCGAGUGGCGGACGGGUGAGGAAUACAUCGGAAUCUACUUUUUCGUGGGGGAUAACGUAGGGAAACUUACGCUAAUACCGCAUACGACCUACGGGUGAAAGCAGGGGAUCUUCGGACCUUUCGCGAUUGAAUGAGCCGAUGUCGGAUUAGCUAGUUGGCGGGGUAAAGGCCCACCAAGGCGACGAUCCGUAGCUGGGCUGAGAGGAUGAUCAGCCACACUGGAACUGAGACACGGUCCAGACUCCUACGGGAGGCAGCAGUGGGGAAUAUUGGACAAUGGGCGCAAGCCUGAUCCAGCCAUACCGCGUGGGUGAAGAAGGCCUUCGGGUUGUAAAGCCCUUUUGUUGGGAAAGAAAAGCAGCAGGUUAAUACCCCGCUGUUCUGACGGUACCCAAAGAAUAAGCACCGGCUAACUUCGUG